CGUAGGGACCAAGCGUUGUUCGGAUUUACUGGGCGUAAAGGGCGCGUAGGCGGCGUGUUAAGUCACUUGUGAAAUCUCUAAGCUUAACUUAGAACGGUCAAGUGAUACUGAUGUGCUAGAGUGCAGAAGGGGCAACCGGAAUUCUUGGUGUAGCGGUGAAAUGCGUAGAUAUCAAGAGGAACACCUGAGGUGAAGACGGGUUGCUGGGCUGACACUGACGCUGAUGCGCGAAAGCUAGGGUAGCAAACGGGAUUAGAUACCCCGGUAGUCCUAGCCCUAAACGAUGAAUACUUGGUGUCUGGAGUUUUUAUUCUCCGGGUGCCGUCGCUAACGUUUUAAGUAUUCCGCCUGGGGAGUACGCACGCAAGUGUG
Molecule: ribosomal RNA, 372 nt
Filed under: uncultured organism
Description: bacterial SSU rRNA
Rfam family: Bacterial small subunit ribosomal RNA
Source: RNAcentral